Molecule: ribosomal RNA, 509 nt
Filed under: Arnetta atkinsoni
Lineage: Eukaryota; Metazoa; Arthropoda; Insecta; Lepidoptera; Hesperiidae
Description: partial 16S ribosomal RNA
Rfam family: Bacterial large subunit ribosomal RNA (bases 382-509)
Source: RNAcentral
UUUUUGUUUAUAAUUUAAGGUUGAAUCUGCCCACUGAUUUUAUUAAAGGGCUGCAGUAUAUUGACUGUACAAAGGUAGCAUAAUCAUUAGUCUUUUAAUUGAAGACUUGUAUGAAGGAUUUGAUGAGAUAUUAACUGUCUCUUUAAUAUAAUUAAAAUUUAAUUUUUUAGUUAAAAAGCUAAAAUAAUUUUAAAAGACGAGAAGACCCUAUAGAGUUUUAUAUUUAGUUGAAUUAUGAGUAUAUGUUAAUUUAAAUUAAAAAAUUUAAUGAAAUAUUUUAUUGGGGUGAUAAAAAAAUUUAUUAAACUUUUUUUAAAAAUAAACAUUGAUUUAUGAUUAAUUGAUCCAUAAUUUAUGAUAAUAAGAAAAAAUUACCUUAGGGAUAACAGCGUAAUUUUUUUUUUUAGUACAUAUAAGAAAAAAAGUUUGCGACCUCGAUGUUGGAUUAAGAUAAAAUUUAAAUGUAGAAGUUUAAAAGUUUUGAUCUGUUCGAUCAUUAAAAUCUUACA